Dermochelys coriacea (leatherback sea turtle) is the source of this 325-nucleotide long non-coding RNA. RefSeq lists it as uncharacterized. Lineage: Eukaryota; Metazoa; Chordata; Testudines; Dermochelyidae. The transcript is spliced from 3 exons. The record is from RefSeq and is a predicted model, not a curated record.
AUCCCAUAACACUCAUACCAACUGGAGUGCAAAUUAGGCCCCCACGCCUCUGUGAUGCAAGCAUGGGGGAGGGACUGUAACCAGAAGAAAAGAUCCAGACAUAGUAGUAGUUUGGUUCCUUUACCACUGUGUUCUUGCCCCAGCAGGGCACACCUAUGUAAAAUAAAAUAAUGAAAUAAAAAUGUCCCCUGGGCAACAGAUUUGGGAAUCUCAAUGAAUUCCAGGUGAUUCUGGACUUCCGAGUGGUGAAGGAAUCACAGAGUGAGCAGAGAAGCCCCAUUGUAUUAGUUCUGACAGAGGUUAGCACAACCCAUUUCUGCAUGGA